Molecule: ribosomal RNA, 497 nt
Filed under: uncultured bacterium
Lineage: Bacteria
Description: partial 16S ribosomal RNA
Rfam family: Bacterial small subunit ribosomal RNA
Source: RNAcentral
GAUGAACGCUGGCGGCGUGCCUAAUACAUGCAAGUCGAGCGAACGGACGAGAAGCUUGCUUCUCUUAUGUUAGCGGCGGACGGGUGAGUAACACGUGGAUAACCUACCUAUAAGACUGGGAUAACUUCGGGAAACCGGAGCUAAUACCGGAUGAUACUUUGAACCGCAUGGUUCAACAGUGAAAGACGGUCUUGCUGUCACUUAUAGAUGGAUCCGCGCUGCAUUAGCUAGUUGGUAAGGUAACGGCUUACCAAGGCAACGAUGCAUAGCCGACCUGAGAGGGUGAUCGGCCACACUGGAACUGAGACACGGUCCAGACUCCUACGGGAGGCAGCAGUAGGGAAUCUUCCGCAAUGGGCGAAAGCCUGACGGAGCAACGCCGCGUGAGUGAUGAAGGUCUGCGGAUCGUAAAACACUGUUAUUAGGGAAGAACAUAUGUGUAAGGAACUGUGCACAUCUUGACGGUACCUAAUCAGAAAGCCACGGCUAACUACGUG